UGUGAAAUCCCAAAGCUUAACUUUGGAACUGCAAUUAAAACUGCUCGACUAGAGUUUGAUAGAGGAAAGCGGAAUACAUAGUGUAGAGGUGAAAUUCGUAGAUAUUAUGUAGAACACCAGUUGCGAAGGCGGCUUUCUGGAUCAACACUGACGCUGAGGCGCGAAAGUAUGGGUAGCAAAGAGGAUUAGAUACCCUCGUAGUCCAUACCAUAAACGAUGAUUGCUAGAUGUUGGAAAUUUAUUUUCAGUAUCGCAGCUAACGCAUUAAGCAAUCCGCCUGGGGAGUACGACCGCAAGGUUAAAACUCAAAUGAAUUGACGGGGACCCGCACAAGCGGUGGAGCAUGUGGUUUAAUUCGAAGAUACGCGCAGAACCUUACCAACCCUUGACAUGUCUGUCGCGAGUUUAGGAAACUAGACUUUUCGGUUCGGCCGGACAGAACACAGGUGCUGCAUGGCUGUCGUCAGCUCGUGUCGUGAGAUGUUGGGUUAAGUCCCCCAACGA
Molecule: ribosomal RNA, 504 nt
Filed under: uncultured bacterium
Lineage: Bacteria
Description: bacterial SSU rRNA
Rfam family: Bacterial small subunit ribosomal RNA
Source: RNAcentral